Molecule: long non-coding RNA, 3749 nt
Organism: Passer domesticus (house sparrow)
Lineage: Eukaryota; Metazoa; Chordata; Aves; Passeriformes; Passeridae
Exons: 6
Source: RefSeq, a predicted model, not a curated record
UCCCCAUCCCCUGGAGACGCUGCCGAGCCAGAAAACGCCGGCGCGGCGCCCGGGGAAGGCUUUAUUCAACCCGCAAACGCGAAAUGAAAGGCAGAGGGGGAGCGCAGAGGUGCGGACGGCGCGGCAGCCGCGCGGCCAAGUUCUAGGAACCAGUGCUGGGUCACCCGCACAGCAAAGUUCUUCCUCAUGUUCAGAUAAAAGCUGGAAGAAUUGACCAUGGGAUGUGCACCAUGUGUCCUUCAUGACCACGCAGCAGGAGAAAUUAGCAUCAUCAAUCAUCAUCAUCAAUCAUUUGGUGUGCUGACCUUUGAGAUCCAAAAGGAGACACAUUCCCUUUGUUUUCUCCAUCCUGGAGAAAGUCUGGAUUACCUGAGCUCCCCAAAGCUCACUCAGGGAUUUACCUGAACAGAUGCAGUCCAGCAAUUAAGAAGAAUCCAGCACUCCUGUGCAUGGAUAACAGGAAUAUUUUCCACUGGAUUACACAAAAUAAAAAUGAAACCCCUGCUAUUUCAACAGCAGCCUAGGAGGGCCAGUGGUUUGGAAGCAUUUCUGGUGGACAGAGAGCAAAAGGAGAGUUUAAUGAUGGUCUGUCUGCAAAGGCUGGGAACCCCAAACUGCAACACCGCGAGGCCAGGACGCCGCGCCGGGGCCGCGCCCCGCCAGCACCCAGGGGGAACUACCAGCUGUGAGCAGCCUAAUUAGCGCGGGGUUAAUGAAGAGCUCAGUCGUCGAAGUCGGGGAUGUCGUCGUAGGAGUAGCCCCGGUAGCCCUUGGAGGCGUAGUAGGCGAUGCGCAGGUGGUAGAAGCCGGGCAGGAACACCAGGAUGCCGAUGAUGAGCACCGGGAUGGCGCGCUCGGUCUCCUGCAGGGACACGGCAUCAGCACAGGGCAGAGGGUGCCCCAGGGCAGCAGUGCAGGGCACCCUCAAGACAGGAAAUUCUUUGUGUCUGACUCAAAUUUGGAAUGCUGAACGCUCGCUUUGGUAAAAAACUGGUUUAUAUUACAUUACAACUAUAUUAUACUGCAUCAUACCAACUGAAAAACUUGUCACUGUCUGCAGACUGACAGUCCACACAGCUUGGACCCCAUAGGUUAAUUAACAUAAACAAUCUCCAUCAGAAUCUAAUGACUGAAUUCCUUCAGGUAGACAGUCUAAUUACUAAAUUCCUUCAAUCUUCCCAACGCAUUCUACGUGUGCAAAACAGGAGGAGCAGCAAGCAGAGGUAAAAAUUGUUUUCCCUCUGUGCUUCUCCAGGAAAAAACCUGAGAGAGAGAAUGAUGUCUGUCUCUGUUCAGAGAAUGUGAAUGCCACACCUCAGGGUUCAGCUUUUUAUGUUUUUCAGCUUCUGUGCUGCUUUAGUGUGCAGUUCUGAGCUUCGUGUGAAGUGUUGUAAGCUCUCUGCACAGGGUAGGGAGACAAAACAAUUCCUUCUCUAGCUGGGGAUUAAGGACAACCACCCAAAUCCCACCCAAGAGCACAAACAACGUGGAAUGAAGAGGGAAAAACAAGGAUGGGACUUAUAAGCUAAAGCUGUAAUUGGACAAUUAACUGCAAUAUGCAAAUGGAGCAGAACUGAUCAAAGUCACAGACCUUGUGACCUGUCGUGCAUUUUGUGCCCAUUUUGGUUCAUCUUGGGUUCAUUUUGGUUCAUCCUGGGUUCAUUUUGUGCCCAUUUUGGUUCAUCCUGGGCUCAUUUUGGUUCAUCCUGGGUUCAUUUUGUGCCCAUUUUGGUUCAUCCUGGGUUCAUUUUGUGCCCAUUUUGGUUCAUCCUGGGUUCAUUUUGGUUCAUCCUGGGUUCGUUUUGUGCCCAUUUUGGCUCACCUUGGGUGCAGCCCUGGCUGGGCUCUUGUGCUGCCCAAGGUGCAUCCAUUGAGGAGAUCCUUUUCAUAAAUCCCUGCUUUAUUCUGUAACCCUGCUCCAGCUCAGCCUUGCCAAGGCACCACAGUGACAUCUCUGAGAGGGGCUCUCCUCCCUCUCACACCCUGCCUGGUCCAGGGGAAGGCUGCCCUGCCCAAGGCAGGUGAGAUGUGAAUGAAUUCUGAGAACCAGCUGAUCUGGAAGGUUCUCUGAACCCAAACCAUCCCGUGGUUCUGUGAUCCAUCCCCAAGGCCUGGCGAGCUGAGCAAUAAAAACCCAUCUUCCACCAGGAACAGCUCAGCUGUCAUCAGGCUGAGCCCCUAAUCCCACCCUGGCCUCUCCUCCUUGCUGCAGGACCCCUCGAGGGACCCCAUCCUUCACCAGGGACCCCCUGGAGGUGCAGGCAGGGCUGGGAGCUGCGAGCACGAGCCCAGGGAUCUGUGCCUGGAGCUGUGCUGAUAGCCCCAGGAGCUGCUGCUGCUGCCAGAGAUAAGGCAGAGCUGCCAACCCCCCUGAGCCCAGGCAGCAGGGGGAGAGGCACCCAGAGCUGCAGGAGCAGAUCCCUGCCCAUGGAUCACCCACAGCCAGAUGGGGAGGUGGUGCUGUGCCCCACAGAGGGUCUGGCAGCUCCUCCCUGUCCCUGAGACCUCUCCAGGACAGGGCUGUGACCUCCCCAGGGACACUCAGCCCUCCUUGGAGAUCCAUUCCCUGCUCACUCCCCGUGGCUCUGAGGUUCUGCACUGAUCCAUCACAGGAUCUUUGAGGCUGGAGAAGACCUUCAAGGUCAUCAAGUCCAAGCAAGACCCAGCACCACCCCCAGGGUCACGUCCUGAGUGCCACAUCCUCGUGUUCUGAACCCUCCCAGGGCUGGGCACUGCAGCAGGCAUUUCCCACAUCAAACCUUUCCUAAUUCUGAAUUGAAACCUCCCCUGGUGGGCAGUGGGGGCUCGGGGCAGUGCAGGACCAGUGCCAGGGGUGUCUGAAGCACUCACCCCUUUGCUGAUGUACCCUGCCAGCAGCAGGGCCCCGAUGAUGAUGAGGAAGGUCCCGAUCAUGAAGAGCACCACAGCCAGCGCGAUGGCCUUGUAGGGGAUUUUGGGUGGGCUCUUCUUGAACUGGGUGGAAAAACCCAAACGUUGAACGGCUGAGCUCGGCACGGCUCCCCUCCCACCACAGCACACAUGGGACCCCAGAGCUGGCACAAAAUUCUGCUCCAGAGCUGCCCUCCAGGGGGAAUCUGCCCUUGAGGCCCUGCUGAGCCAGCCCCUGCUCCCAGGAAGGUUCUUUGGGCUCUCCAGAGGGGCAGGGCUGAGGUCUGGCUCCCUCCUGGCUCUGCCCUCGUGGAUUCACAGCCUCCUUCCCCAUUUUACCUGCAGGUCAAUGUAUCCAUCAUCGGUGCUGGCGAGUUUGGAAUAUUUCACUUUGCUGCUGGGGAUCCCAGCGGAGAGAUUGGUCCUGGAUGGCAUCAUUCCAGGGGGGCCUGGGCAUCAGCUACACCCUGGGAGGCAGGGCCAGGGGCAGAAACAGGAGAGGAGACUGAGGGAUGGCAGUCUGAGAGACAGAGCUGAAGUUCCAGAGGAGAAACUCCCCUGUCAAGGCUGUGCCACCCACCACAGCUCUGCUCCCGUUUGUAAAUUAACACUUUUCCCACAGAGGAGCUAAGCAUUUCAUUUGAAGCCUGAAAUACAAAAUGGAUCGAGCUGCAACAAUGUUUGGAGUCAAGGGAGAACCUGUGCUUAAACCAGCUGGAAAUUCCAGGGCAGGGCCCAGGAAUGACCCAGCUCUCACACAUGUCCAAGCUUUGGCUCUUUCUGAACAGGACACCAGCAAACCAACCCAAACCAGAGCUAAACAAAGCAGCUUUUCAACCACCAGGAGACUUUGCAAGAGA